Molecule: non-coding RNA, 73 nt
Organism: Schistocerca cancellata (South American locust)
Lineage: Eukaryota; Metazoa; Arthropoda; Insecta; Orthoptera; Acrididae
Source: the annotation of a RefSeq genome assembly
GCCGUGGUGGUGUAAUGGUUAGCAUUUUUGCCUAAAAAGCAAGAAGACCUGGGUUCGAGUCCCUGUCGCAGCA